AUACGGAGGAUGCAAGCGUUAUCCGGAUUUAUUGGGUUUAAAGGGUGCGUAGGCGGUUUGCUAAGCGGGAGGUGAAAUGCCGGCGCUCAACGUCGGAAGUGCCUCCCGAACUGGUGGACUUGAAUGACUCUGCCGUGGGAGGAAUGUGUAGUGUAGCGGUGAAAUGCUUAGAGAUUACACAGAACACCGAUUGCGAAGGCAUCUCACGAAGAGUUGAUUGACGCUGAGGCACGAAAGCGUGGGGAUCAAACAGGAUUAGAUACCCUGGUAGUCCACGCAGUAAACGAUGAUGGCUAACCGCUGGGCUUAUCAGUUCAGUGGCCAAGCGAAAGCGAUAAGCCAUCCACCUGGGGAGUACGACCGCAAGGUUGAAACUCAAAGGAAUUGACGGGG
RNAcentral lists this ribosomal RNA (393 nucleotides) under uncultured bacterium. Its description in RNAcentral is "partial 16S ribosomal RNA". It matches the Rfam family "Bacterial small subunit ribosomal RNA", at positions 523 to 918 of the family's 1533-position model. The record is from RNAcentral.